GUGUUUGCGGAUGUUGCAUCAUCAAGAUUCACAGACUUCUAAGAGAUAGUCUUUUGGGUGGUGGUGGUGGUGGUGGUGGUGGUCCCAUCAGCUUCCAUGAUCACUCUAGAAGACUAGCUCCCUUUCUCUCUCUUGAUUAAUUAUGAGAAUCCUGAUGAUGCUGCAUCGGCAAUUAA
This 176-nucleotide microRNA precursor is filed under the name Macleaya cordata. RNAcentral's name for it is "mir-172 microRNA precursor family". It matches the Rfam family "mir-172 microRNA precursor family". From Rfam's summary of the family: mir-172 has been experimentally verified in Arabidopsis thaliana. This family is thought to target mRNAs coding for APETALA2-like transcription factors. The mature sequence is excised from the 3' arm of the hairpin. The record is from Rfam by way of RNAcentral. Lineage: Eukaryota; Viridiplantae; Streptophyta; Magnoliopsida; Ranunculales; Papaveraceae.